RNAcentral lists this ribosomal RNA (497 nucleotides) under uncultured bacterium. RNAcentral describes it as "partial 16S ribosomal RNA". It matches the Rfam family "Bacterial small subunit ribosomal RNA", at positions 28 to 507 of the family's 1533-position model. The record is from RNAcentral.
GAUGAACGCUGGCGGCGUGCCUAAUACAUGCAAGUCGAGCGAACGGACGAGAAGCUUGCUUCUCUGAUGUUAGCGGCGGACGGGUGAGUAACACGUGGAUAACCUACCUAUAAGACUGGGAUAACUUCGGGAAACCGGAGCUAAUACCGGAUAAUAUUUUGAACCGCAUGGUUCAAAAGUGAAAGACGGUCUUGCUGUCACUUAUAGAUGGAUCCGCGCUGCAUUAGCUAGAUGGCAAGGUAACGGCUUACCAAGGCAACGAUGCAUAGCCGACCUGAGAGGGUGAUCGGCCACACUGGAACUGAGACACGGUCCAGACUCCUACGGGAGGCAGCAGUAGGGAAUCUUCCGCAAUGGGCGAAAGCCUGACGGAGCAACGCCGCGUGAGUGAUGAAGGUCUUCGGAUCGUAAAACUCUGUUAUUAGGGAAGAACAUAUGUGUAAGUAACUGUGCACAUCUUGACGGUACCUAAUCAGAAAGCCACGGCUAACUACGUG